Mauremys reevesii (Reeves's turtle) is the source of this 676-nucleotide long non-coding RNA. RefSeq lists it as uncharacterized. Lineage: Eukaryota; Metazoa; Chordata; Testudines; Geoemydidae. The record is from RefSeq and is a predicted model, not a curated record. The transcript is spliced from 4 exons.
CUUUCAGUUAAGAGGGGAAUAGACAUAAACUGAAAGCAGAACACACAGAAGAAAAGAGCUUAACCAUGAAUGAGCUUCUCCCAAAGGCUCAUGAUGAUUCUGGAGUCCCACUAACUGAAUAGCAACUCUGGUUGUACAGUGGGAGAUGGACCUCUACAGAGUGCUGAGAGCAAGGCACCUAGGACUCUUCUAUGGAAAAUGUUGCCUUUAUUUCAUUUUUCACCCAGGACCCAGACGCAAUGUUGAUUUAGCAAAUGGAAUCACUUCUGUGAGGACAGUUGUGUUACACUGAAAGGAAGAGGAAGCUGCUCAGGACACGUUCAACGCACGCUCCGGUUAAUUUAUGUGACCUGGCACUCUGAAAACGAAUAAAACCAGCUUACGCUUCCACUUGCACAUGAUUAAUGAGAGCGCACCGUGCCCGACCUAGGAAAAAAAUAUACAGAUUAGGAGAGAAAUUUGGAAUUAACAGAACAUCUGUUAACGGAGCUAGAAAUAUUCGACCACAGCCAUGUACCAUAAAUCAGAAAAUAGCCUUUUGACAGUUCUGCUUUGCUCUCCAUACCUUGGACCAAGUCACAGAGCUGUGGAUAGAUAUUGGAUCUGUUUUAAGCCACUGAAGGGAAGAUUCUCAGCUGGUGUAAAUCAUCAGGCCCAUCAAAGGCUCUGCCCUGGA